Molecule: ribosomal RNA, 253 nt
Filed under: uncultured bacterium
Lineage: Bacteria
Description: partial 16S ribosomal RNA
Rfam family: Bacterial small subunit ribosomal RNA
Source: RNAcentral
GACAUAGGUGGCGAGCGUUAUUCGGAAUUACUAGGCGUAAAGCGAGUGUAGGCGGACUCUUAAGUCUGACGUUAAAUCUCCGGGCUUAACUCGGAGCUGUCGUCGGAUACUGAGAGCCUCGAAUGGGGUAGGGGGCAGGGGAAUUCCCGGUGUAGCGGUGAAAUGCGUAGAUAUCAAGAGGAACACCUGCGGCGAAGGCGGGUUGCUGGGCCGACACUGACGCUGAUGCGCGAAAGCCAGGGGAGCGAACGGG